Molecule: long non-coding RNA, 434 nt
Filed under: Mytilus galloprovincialis (Mediterranean mussel)
Lineage: Eukaryota; Metazoa; Mollusca; Bivalvia; Mytilida; Mytilidae
Source: RNAcentral
AAUAGGCCCGAGACCACAAUUAAUUCCUCUAUCAUUUCUUUAUAACGUUUUGUCGCAUUAAAAAAUUUUUGCCUAUUCUUUUUGUCUAAUUUUUUGUGUGUGUAAUGUACAGUACAAGUCCAAAAAUAUAUGCAAUUUUACAUCAUACAAAUUUGCCAAUACACAUCCAUACCCCUAUAGGCAAGUCAAGAGAUGUUCCGAAAAGUGUAAAUAUUACCUUUUUGCACCUGGCCUAAUCACUCUUUCCUUAUUAAAAUCAGUUAAAAUAAAACAUCCAAAAGUUUAUUUAAGCUCUCUUCUUUCAUUUCCACCCAAGAAAAGCUAAGAAAUGAAUGAGAAAGGGAAAGAAAAAAAUAAAGACAAAAUACACUAUAAUUAAAGGGAACUAUAUUUGUGGACAACGAAAAGCUGGAUCAUUAAUUGUGGUCUUGGGC